CCAAGGAACACCGAAAACUUUUCACCACUUUUUUCAAUCGCUUCAAAAGGGCCCGAAAAAUGUCCGCUUCGACCGGAAAAUAUCACCAAACAACUGCCGAUCACUUCCGCUACCGAUGGCACAUAUUUUCGACCGGUUUCGUCGUUCGUCCGCUGCAAAGCUGACCAGAGCCGAGUGUUUAGCCAGCCACGAUCUUCUAGGGGUGGUCAUUCUGAAAUAUUCGUGUUAUACGAUAAGUCCAACAAACUUAAAGCAAUCGAAGGCGGUUCCUGACCAUCAUCACUCUGCAUAUCCUCAUCUGGAUCCAUUUCCUCCGACUCCUCCUCGUCGCUAUCGCUGAUAGGUUCAUUUACCUCCGAAUCUGAAUAGUCGUCGCUGUCUACCGCCCCCUGACGCACGC
Long non-coding RNA from Aedes albopictus (Asian tiger mosquito), 400 nucleotides. RefSeq lists it as uncharacterized. Lineage: Eukaryota; Metazoa; Arthropoda; Insecta; Diptera; Culicidae. The record is from RefSeq and is a predicted model, not a curated record. The transcript is spliced from 3 exons.